AUGGAUCUGUGCCCUAACAAUACUUGGCAAGCCUAUGUGUGGUGCUUUACUUUCUUCCCUGGUGGAGAAGAUUUUUACACAGUGGGAAUUGCUGCUAUGUGCUGGGCGAUUUGGACCAGUCGCAACAGGGCCACUUUUGAGUUCAAACCUCUUAAAAACCCGUUCGAAUGUGUUUUUACUACUUGUGCUCUAAUGUGUUACUGGGCAGGGCUACUGAAACAAGAAGACGUGGCGACCAUGAGGGACGGGGCAAAGAUGCUGAAGGAGAAUGCGUCGAUGAUGAUGAGAAUCUGCGGGGCAAGCAGUGAAGAAAUGGCUCGUUGA
RNAcentral lists this ribosomal RNA (324 nucleotides) under Triticum aestivum (bread wheat). RNAcentral describes it as "partial small subunit ribosomal RNA". Lineage: Eukaryota; Viridiplantae; Streptophyta; Magnoliopsida; Poales; Poaceae. The record is from RNAcentral.